CUGACCUGGAUACUGGGCUGUGACCUGUGCCUGGGCCCUGACUGGGUGCCUGGGUCCUGACCUGGACCCUAUGCCUCAGAAACCCUCAGGAAAACCCUAAAUGUUCACCUGGCGGACAGGAGUCCCUGCUUCCCCAGAGCCACGUCGAUCUGCAGAACCUGCUUGUGGCUGAGGAUGCAGAUUGCCACAAAAGGCCUAGGAGUAAAAAUUGGAGCCAGGCCGUGUCCAAGAAGAUUAUCCCAGAGAAAAGCAUCAUAGGAGCAACAAGUGUCCUGGAGCUGCCAGUUGCCAGUCCAUGACUCCAAGGAUGCUGCGGCGCUGCCAAAGGUGAAGAGGCUCAGAGAGCUGCCAGACAAGAUCCUCCAGAAGAAAAGGCAGAGCUACGACAACAGGGAGUCGAAGUAAGUAAUGAACAUGGACUCAAGACUUCUGCUGCUGUAGCUGAAGAAACAGAUUUUAGAAGAAAAGACCAACCUUGUGACUCAUCGUUCUGGAAGAAGCCCACCACAUCCGUUCCUCACGGCAUGUGGAUUGUUCUUCCCACAGGCUCAGUGUCAUUAUCAGAGUUGUUAUUUCGUAGAUCCUUGUAGAUGAUAUUGAAUUUUUAAAUAAUUUACUUAUAUGGACACUUGUAAAUUGUAAAUUCUUUUCUUUUUUAAUUUCAAUAUUUUUACAAUGUUUAGUGUUGAGGCAUGAAAAGAAAACAACCUGCGAAAACUAGAAGGAGGGUGAGUCUUUCUCAAAAAACCAGUAUUUUUUGACUGAGAGGAUCAUACUGUGCCUGGACAAGAUUGUGUCAGUAAACAGUAAUUUUGACUCCAAAAUAUGCAGCAGGAGUCAAACCCUAGCAGUGUACAAGUGAUCAUUUCAAUGCUGUAUUUAGAAUUCACAAUGUCCACUCCUUGCAUUGUUUGAACUGCUGAAUGCAGUAGGGACUGAUCUAUGACUCUUCUUACCCAGAUGUGCAAACACUAAUGUACUCACCUAAUUAUUGCAAUUCAUAUAUGACUUCUCCUUUCCUAAUCUCCUUUGCCCCAAGUCCAUCACAAGUAGCUGUCUGUGAUUUGAAGAGAAGUAGGAAAACUGCUCAAUGGAUGUCGGUCUCUAGGAACCUAGGGCUGUUUAGAUGUCUGUGAUUUGCACAUUUUUAAACUCCUUUCCUCCCUUCUCCCAGGAAGAAGCCAAGCAUGAAUGUACAGUACAAGGCACCAACUGAAGCCUUAGAAGCCUCUGGGGACUAAUUUUUCUCUUAAUUUAAAAGUAAACAAGCAAAACUGAAAAAUGUGUGUAAAAAUUUGUAAAGUUAUUUGUAAAUACUUCUAGACAAAGAACAUGUAUGUAACUGUGGUAUUUUGUUUUCUAUUGUGUCACCACUAGCAUAAAGUGAUACACAAAGCUA
Long non-coding RNA from Corvus hawaiiensis (hawaiian crow), 1399 nucleotides. RefSeq lists it as uncharacterized. NCBI's taxonomy places the organism in Eukaryota, Metazoa, Chordata, Aves, Passeriformes, Corvidae. The record is from RefSeq and is a predicted model, not a curated record. The transcript is spliced from 3 exons.